This 400-nucleotide ribosomal RNA is filed under the name uncultured bacterium. RNAcentral's name for it is "bacterial SSU rRNA". It matches the Rfam family "Bacterial small subunit ribosomal RNA", at positions 355 to 772 of the family's 1533-position model. The record is from RNAcentral.
UGAGGAAUAUUGGACAAUGGGCGAAAGCCUGAUCCAGCAAUGCCGCGUGAACGAUAAAGGCCUUAGGGUUGUAAAGUUCUUUUAGCAGGGAAGAUAAUGACGGUACCUGCAGAAAAAGCCCCGGCUAACUCCGUGCCAGCAGCCGCGGUAAGACGGAGGGGGCUAGCGUUGUUCGGAAUUACUGGGCGUAAAGAGCGCGUAGGCGGUUUAGUAAGUUGGGAGUGAAAGCCUAGGGCUUAACCUUAGAAUUGCUUCCAAAACUGCUAAACUAGAGUGUGAUAGGGGGUGAUGGAAUUCCUAGUGUAGAGGUGAAAUUCUUAGAUAUUAGGAGGAACACCGGUGGCGAAGGCGGUCACCUGGGUCACAACUGACGCUGAUGCGCGAAAGCGUGGGGAGCAAA